GUUUCUGUUCGCGUCGCCCCUUCCUUCCUGUGUCACCGCAAUCAAUGUAACCGCGGUCACCUGCCUCGUGUUUCGUGUUUUGUAUUUAAGUCCUGUCUGCCCCUCGCUCACCGUCGGAUCAUUGUUUAUUGUUGUGUUAAUGUCAUGAUGUCUUUUUGGUUCCGGUCUUUGGUAAUGUCACCCUGUCUUUUUGUUUCACGUCUUUUUCGGUCAGUCUUGUUGUUAGGUUUUGUUAGUGAGUUAUGUCAGUUUGCCGAGUCUUUUUGAGUUUGCUUCAAUAAACCCUGGUCCAAACUGCA
This is a long non-coding RNA of Syngnathus acus (greater pipefish), 299 nucleotides long. RefSeq lists it as uncharacterized. NCBI's taxonomy places the organism in Eukaryota, Metazoa, Chordata, Actinopteri, Syngnathiformes, Syngnathidae. The record is from RefSeq and is a predicted model, not a curated record. The transcript is spliced from 2 exons.